UACGGGGGGAGCAAGCGUUGUUCGGAUUUACUGGGCGUAAAGGGCGCGUAGGCGGCGUGACAAGUCACUUGUGAAAUCUCCGGGCUUAACUCGGAACGGUCAAGUGAUACUGUCGGACUAGAGUACAGAAGGGGCAACUGGAAUUCUCGGUGUAGCGGUGAAAUGCGUAGAUAUCGAGAGGAACACCUGCGGCGAAGGCGGGUUGCUGGGCUGAUACUGACGCUGAGGCGCGAAAGCCAGGGGAGCGAACGGGG
This 254-nucleotide ribosomal RNA is filed under the name uncultured bacterium. RNAcentral describes it as "partial 16S ribosomal RNA". It matches the Rfam family "Bacterial small subunit ribosomal RNA", at positions 524 to 777 of the family's 1533-position model. The record is from RNAcentral.